Non-coding RNA from Ictidomys tridecemlineatus (thirteen-lined ground squirrel), 76 nucleotides. The record is from the annotation of a RefSeq genome assembly. NCBI's taxonomy places the organism in Eukaryota, Metazoa, Chordata, Mammalia, Rodentia, Sciuridae.
GAUGUAGCUCAGUGGUAGAGCACCUGCCUAGCAUGCAGGAGGCUCUGGGUUCAAUUCCCAGACACACACAUAUACA